GAGAAAGUCCAGUACUCCGUGGGAAGAGUGGAACACACCAGGAUCCAGCCGCACAGACAGGACACGAAGCAGCCGAUCUCCAUGUACAUCACCACCGCCCUUUGCACCAUGUAACCAGCCACGUCUGAUCCACCUGCAUGAGGGAAAGCCGAUGACAUGGGGAAAAAAAGACAACAAACCACCGACCAGGUGGAGAGCAGAUGCCGUUAUUAGCAGCUGGUCGUUACGUCUCUGGUCUCCUCCAAUGUGUGUGCACUCCACUCCAAAAAAUGUGAGCACUGUGCCAAUCAAGCCGAGGCAAAGGCCGAUCAUCAGGAGCCCCCUAACUGCCUGGAUAUACGCUGGAUAACAGCCAAACACACAUCCGGGCACCCCGAAGUCCACACAGUUCACCAGAGCGGUGGAGUCCUCAAAGCAGUCCUUCCACAGGUCUGACCAGAACCAGGCUGUCACCACCACAGACGAGCCCGCCUGACCCCCCAGCUGGGCCACUCUUCAUGGUCCAUAGCAACGGUGCAGCCCACCAAGCCCCAGCCCAGUACGCAGAGCAGCAGGCCCAGGAUCUGAGCCAGUCUCCUCCUCAUCCCUUCAGUCUGAUGGCUGUCCUUUACUCAUGCAGAGGCCGUGUUCAUCUAGUUGUAAUCCAAAAUCAGAGAGAUGUCGAUGUGGCCUCUUACUCUGCUGCUCCUCUCAGGAAAAAGAGAGGACGACUGGAUCUCAGUUCUCAGGCAUCAGAAACCUGCUCAUCCACAGACUGGUUGAAGAACUGCUGGGUCUCAGGAGGAUCACCAAAGUCAUAAGGAUUUCUCCUCUGAAGACCGUACCUGUGUGUUUGUGCAAGGGACCGGGACGACUGAGAGACGGAGGGCAAGCAAACACAACUUAACUUGAGGGGAAAAAUUUUAUAGUGAUUUCUUUUUGCCAUGGAAACACAAGGAUUACAAAACUGCCUAAUUAAAGUCGCAUAUAUCAGGACUGGCACGCUGUAUUUCCUCUUAUGUCUUAUGAGUUAUUGCCACAUGUCACGCAACACAAAGAGAAGUUUGACCUGUUGUUAAUUUUACCCCCACAGUAUGUUUUUGAAUGUCAUAAGAGAAGAUCUUGAACAUUAAUGAGUCAAAUUUGUGGUAUUUUUAAACUCCUACAAGCACAUUUUCCUUCUUACUUGUGGAUGUUGUUAUAAAAGUAGACUUCAAACAAUGGUUUAGUCAAUACCAUCACAAGGGUUUCUCUUUAUCACAAGGCCAACAUUGUAAAGUGUGAUUGUAAAUGUAACUUACUCCUUACAUUCCUCAAUAAAAUCAAAGUAAAUUUGA
Long non-coding RNA from Seriola aureovittata, 1316 nucleotides. RefSeq lists it as uncharacterized. The record is from RefSeq and is a predicted model, not a curated record. The transcript is spliced from 8 exons. NCBI's taxonomy places the organism in Eukaryota, Metazoa, Chordata, Actinopteri, Carangiformes, Carangidae.